AUGCCGUAAACGAUGAGUGCUAGGUGUUGGAGGGUUUCCGCCCUUCAGUGCCGGAGCUAACGCAUUAAGCACUCCGCCUGGGGAGUACGACCGCAAGGUUGAAACUCAAAGGAAUUGACGGGGGCCCGCACAAGCGGUGGAGCAUGUGGUUUAAUUCGAAGCUACGCGAAGAACCUUACCAGGUCUUGACAUCUUGCGCUAACCUUAGAGAUAAGGCGUUCCCUUCGGGGACGCAAUGACAGGUGGUGCAUGGUCGUCGUCAGCUCGUGUCGUGAGAUGUUGGGUUAAGUCCGCAACGAGCGCAACCCUUGUUACUAGUUGCCAGCAUUAAGUUGGGCACUCUAGUGAGACUGCCGGUGACAAACCGGAGGAAGGUGGGGACGACGUCAGAUCAUCAUGCCCCUUAUGACCUGGGCUACACACGUGCUACAAUGGACGGUACAACGAGUCGCAAGCUCGCGAGAGUAAGCUAAUCUCUUAAAGCCGUUCUCAGUUCGGACUGUAGGCUGCAACUCGCCUACACGAAGUCGGAAUCGCUAGUAAUCGCGGAUCAGCAUGCCGCGGUGAAUACGUUCCCGGGCCUUGUACACACCGCCCGUCACACCAU
RNAcentral lists this ribosomal RNA (607 nucleotides) under Limosilactobacillus reuteri. Its description in RNAcentral is "bacterial SSU rRNA". It matches the Rfam family "Bacterial small subunit ribosomal RNA", at positions 797 to 1405 of the family's 1533-position model. Lineage: Bacteria; Bacillati; Bacillota; Bacilli; Lactobacillales; Lactobacillaceae. The record is from RNAcentral.